This 187-nucleotide non-coding RNA is filed under the name Acinetobacter sp. RNAcentral's name for it is "6S RNA". It matches the Rfam family "6S / SsrS RNA". From Rfam's summary of the family: E. coli 6S RNA was the first non coding RNA to be sequenced, but its function was unknown until recently. It consists of 184 nucleotides that fold into an extended hairpin structure with a large single-stranded internal bulge. The record is from RNAcentral. Lineage: Bacteria; Pseudomonadati; Pseudomonadota; Gammaproteobacteria; Moraxellales; Moraxellaceae.
AUCUCUCUGGAGUGUUUGCCAAUAGGUUUAUUCCCCUGAGCCGAUAAUCUUACCUUACGGAUUGUUUUUUGUGUGAUAUAGCGUGUAGGCCUAUCUCGUAAUAGGAAACCCAAAGGCAUACUCAGCAGUCCAACCUUGAACUUUAGGGUUCAAGGGUGCGACCUGUAGCGGCACUUUCGGAGAACUU